Molecule: ribosomal RNA, 639 nt
Filed under: uncultured Latescibacterota bacterium
Lineage: Bacteria; Pseudomonadati; Candidatus Latescibacterota
Description: bacterial SSU rRNA
Rfam family: Bacterial small subunit ribosomal RNA
Source: RNAcentral
GGCGAACGGGUGAGUAACGCGUGGGAAACCUGCUUCCGACUGGGGAAUAACAGCUCUAACGGGCUGCUAAUACCGCAUAACACCCUCGAACGCAUGUUCGAGGGUCAAAGAUGGCCUCUACUUGUAAGCUGUCGGUUGGAAAUGGUCCCGCGUCCUAUUAGCUUGUUGGUAGGGUAACGGCCUACCAAGGCGACGAUGGGUAGCCGGCUUGAGAGAGUGGUCGGCCACACUGGGACUGAGAUACGGCCCAGACUCCUACGGGAGGCAGCAGUCGAGAGGCUUCGGCAAUGGGGGAAACCCUGACCGAGCGACGUCGCGUGGGUGAUGAAGAUCCUUGGAUCGUAAAACCCUGUCAGGUGGGAAGAAACACCAUUCGGCGAAUAACCGAGUGGCUUGACGGUACCACCAGAGGAAGCUCCGGCUAACUCCGUGCCAGCAGCCGCGGUAACACGGGGGGAGCAAGCGUUGUUCGGAUUCAUUGGGCGUAAAGAGCUCGUAGGUGGCUCCGUAAGUCAGGGGUGAAAUACAAUGGCUCAACCAUUGACACGCCUUUGAAACUACGGAGCUUGAGUUCGGGAGAGGAAAGUGGAAUUCCUGGAGUAGCGGUGAAAUGCGUAGAUAUCAGGAGGAACACCGGUG